AGGACUGCAUAUACUAUGGUGAUCUCAUAAGAUUAUAAUGGAGCUGAAAAAUUUCCAUCACCUAGUGAGGUCGUGGUCAUCAUAAUAUUGUAGCGAAAUGCAUUAUUUACAUAUUUGUGGUGAUGCUACUGUAAGCAAACCUACUGUAUAGCCAGUUAUAAAGUCCUGGCACAUGCAAUUAUGUACAUUACAUUAUACUUGAUAAUGAUAAUAAAUCACUAAGAUAAUGGUUUAUGUAUUUACUAUACUAUCUGUUAUUAUUUUAGAGUGCAUGCCUACUUAUAAAAAUGUUAACUGUAAAACAUCCUCAGGUAGGUCCUUUUAGGAGGUCUUGUUAUCAUAGGAGAUGACGGUUCCAUUUGUGUUAUUGCCCCUGAAGACAAUCAGGACAAGAUGUGGAGGUGGAAGACAGUGAUGUUAAUGCUCCUGACACCUGGUAGGCUUAGUAUAACUUCUAUGUGUAUGUCUUAGUUCUUAAAAAAAUAGUUUAAAAGGCAAAAAUAGAAUUAAAAAGUAUAAAAAUAGGAAAAAACUUAUAGGAUAAGAAUAUAAAGAAAAAAUAUUCUUAUAUAGCUAGCUGUACAAUAUGUUUGUGUUUUAAGCUAUGUGUUAUUACAGAAAAGUCAAAAAGUUUGGAAACGUAAAAACUCUAUAAAGCAAAAAGUUACAAUAAGCCAAUAUUAAUUUAUUAUUGAAGAAAGACAAACUUUUUAAUAAACUUAGUGUAUCCUAUGUGUACAGUGUUGAUUAAGUUUACAGUAGUGUAAUGUCCCAGGCUUUUACAUUCUCUCACCUCUCAAUCAUUGGCUCACCCAGGGCAACUUCCAGUCCUGCAAGCUCUGUUCAUGGCUUGAAAGAAAAGGUCAAGUGUGGUGGCUCAUACCUGUAAUCCCAACAUGUUGGGGGGCAGAGGCGAGAGGACCACUUGAGACCAGGAGUUUGAGACCAGCCUGGGCAACAUAGCAAGGACCUGUGCCUACAAAGAAACAAAAUAAAUAAAUGAAUAAAAAGACUAUUCAAAUGAUGGAUAGUUUGGUUUUAAAAUAUGAAAAGAACCCAUAGAAACUCAAAUGAAGAAAGAGAAUCUCAGGAAACAAAGUUUAGCUUGGCAAUAAUUGAACCAAAAUCACUGGGGAUCCAUUCUUUCUCUUUUAUUUUGUAGAUGAGUUAUCUUGCAUAUAUUUCUGCAUAUUGCUUUACUUUUCUUUGCUGCAGCCUCACUUCCAACAUGAAAAUCUUAGAAUUGGCACCCUUAUAAUAUUGGUUUCCACAUAGUAUGUGGUUAAAAUGUCAUGAACUCUGACAUUAAUUAUCUGUUGUAUCUCCAGAGACUAAAUCAGUUUAUUUGAUUCUGUUUUUUAAAAUUAAUUUGUUUGUACAGUUUAUGGAGGUAUAAUUGACAUUCUAUAAAUGGCUAAUAUCUCAUAGUACAAUUUGGUAAAACAUAAUCUAUUUGUACCCCAGUAAAACCACCACCAUAAUGGAGAUAAUGAAUAUGUGCAUUAUCCUCAAAGCUUUCCUCAUGCCCUUUUAUAACCUCUUGCUUCCAGCUCUCACCUCUCUGGAUUCGUCUCUGGCAAUCUUUAUCUGCUCUCACGAUGCAUGACUGAAUUUUAUAUAAGUGAAAUCAUAUGUUUGCCUAAUUUCUUUCAUUCAUUUAACUAUUUUAACAUUCACCCAUAUAAAUGUGUAUAUCAUUAUUUAAUGCCUUUUUAACUGCUGAGAAAUACUGUAUUUUAUAGAUAUACCUCAAUUUGUUUAUCCAUUCACAUUUAGGCAAUUGGACAUUUGGGACAUUUAGGUUGUUUCUAGUUUCGAGUCUUUAAAGAUGAUGUUAAUGAUGUUACUGUGAGCAUUUAUGUACAAGUCCAUGUAUAAACAUAUGUGUUUUAAUUUGAUAAACACCUAAAAAUGGGAUGACAGAGUCAAAUGGUAGGCUUAUGUUUAACUUCUUAAGAAACUACCACAUUUUUGUUCAAAAGCAACUAUCAGAUUUUACAUUCCUGCCUGCAGUAAAUGAGAGUUCUAGUUUUUUGAUGUUUACAAUACUUGGUAAGGUCAGUCUUAAAAUUUUAGUCACUCUUACUGGUGUGUGUACUAGUAUUUCUGUGUGUUUUUUAACUUGUGAUGUUCAGAAACUGUUUCUAUGGUGAUUUACUAUGUGUACAUCUUUAUUAAAAUGGAUCUGUUCACAGUCUUGGCCAAUUUUUUUAAAAUAGGGUUGCUUGUUUUCUUAUUAAUGAGUUUUGUUUCAUUCUAUAAUGUUUAACAUUGAGAUAUAAGUCACGUGAAAUAUAAUUCACCAUUUUGAAGUGUAUAUGUCAGUGGUUUUUAGUAUAACUACACAAUAUUGUACAACAAUUAUGACUAUUUUAUUCCAGAACAUUUUCAUUAAUCCAUAAAGAAAUCACAUACCUAUUAACAAUCAUGCCUAAUCUUUUCCUCCACUCGUCUCUGGCAACCCAUCAAUCUACUCUGUUUCCCUAGAUCUGUAUAUUCUGAAAAUUUCAUAUAAAUGAAUUCAUGCAAUAGUGAUAAUUUCUGAUAUGGCUUCUUUCCAUUUAGCAUGUUUUCAAGGUUCAUCCAAAUUGUGGCAUGUGACAGGUUUUUAUUACUUUUUAUGGCUGAAAAAUUUUUCUAUAGAGUUUUGAGAAUUUUUAUAUAGCCUGGAUACACAUUAUCAGAUUCAUUAUGUGUAAAUAUGUUUGUAAUUAUUCCUGUCUGUUGCUUGUUUUUUAAUGUUUCUUACAGUGUCUUUAAUUGUUAUUAUUAUUACUAUUAUUAUUAUUACUUUGAGAUGGAGUCUCACUCUGUCUCCCAGGCUGGAGUGCGGUGGCACAAUCUCGACUCACUGCAACCUCCGCCUCCCGGGUUCAAGCAAUUCUCCUGCCUCAGCCUCCCGAGUAGCUGGGACUACAGGCAUGUGCCACCACGCCCGGCUAAUUUUUUUUUUUUUUUUUUUUUUUGAGACGGAGUCUCGCUCUGUCGCCCAGGCCGGACUGCGGACUGCAGUGGCG
RNAcentral lists this long non-coding RNA (3017 nucleotides) under Homo sapiens (human). RNAcentral describes it as "HSALNT0315079". The record is from RNAcentral. Lineage: Eukaryota; Metazoa; Chordata; Mammalia; Primates; Hominidae.